RNAcentral lists this ribosomal RNA (496 nucleotides) under uncultured bacterium. RNAcentral describes it as "partial 16S ribosomal RNA". It matches the Rfam family "Bacterial small subunit ribosomal RNA", at positions 28 to 506 of the family's 1533-position model. The record is from RNAcentral.
GAUGAACGCUGGCGGCGUGCCUAAUACAUGCAAGUCGAGCGAACAGACGAGGAGCUUGCUCCUCUGACGUUAGCGGCGGACGGGUGAGUAACACGUGGAUAACCUACCUAUAAGACUGGGAUAAUUUCGGGAAACCGGAGCUAAUACCGGAUAAUAUAUUGAACCGCAUGGUUCAAUAGUGAAAGACGGUUUUGCUGUCACUUAUAGAUGGAUCCGCGCCGCAUUAGCUAGUUGGUAAGGUAACGGCUUACCAAGGCAACGAUGCGUAGCCGACCUGAGAGGGUGAUCGGCCACACUGGAACUGAGACACGGUCCAGACUCCUACGGGAGGCAGCAGUAGGGAAUCUUCCGCAAUGGGCGAAAGCCUGACGGAGCAACGCCGCGUGAGUGAUGAAGGUCUUCGGAUCGUAAAACUCUGUUAUUAGGGAAGAACAAAUGUGUAAGUAACUAUGCACGUCUUGACGGUACCUAAUCAGAAAGCCACGGCUAACUACGU